CGGGGCGUGGCGCAGCUUGGCUAGCGCGCACCGUUCGGGUCGGUGAGGUCGUGGGUUCGAAUCCCGCCGCCCCGA
This 75-nucleotide transfer RNA is filed under the name Anaerolineales bacterium. Its description in RNAcentral is "tRNA-Pro". It matches the Rfam family "tRNA". From Rfam's summary of the family: Transfer RNA (tRNA) molecules are approximately 80 nucleotides in length. Their secondary structure includes four short double-helical elements and three loops (D, anti-codon, and T loops). The record is from RNAcentral. RNAcentral also lists the same sequence under 1 other name. Lineage: Bacteria; Bacillati; Chloroflexota; Anaerolineae; Anaerolineales.